This 910-nucleotide ribosomal RNA is filed under the name Mesonia algae. Its description in RNAcentral is "bacterial SSU rRNA". It matches the Rfam family "Bacterial small subunit ribosomal RNA", at positions 462 to 1375 of the family's 1533-position model. The record is from RNAcentral. Lineage: Bacteria; Pseudomonadati; Bacteroidota; Flavobacteriia; Flavobacteriales; Flavobacteriaceae.
AAGGGAAUUGACGGUACUCUACGAAUAAGGAUCGGCUAAUUCCGUGCCAGCAGCCGCGGUAAUACGGAGGAUCCAAGCGUUAUCCGGAAUCAUUGGGUUUAAAGGGUCCGUAGGCGGACUAAUAAGUCAGUGGUGAAAGUCUGCAGCUCAACUGUAGAAUUGCCAUUGAUACUGUUAGUCUUGAGUCAUUAUGAAGUGGUUAGAAUGAGUGGUGUAGCGGUGAAAUGCAUAGAUAUCACUCAGAAUACCGAUUGCGAAGGCAGAUCACUAAUAAUGUACUGACGCUGAUGGACGAAAGCGUAGGUAGCGAACAGGAUUAGAUACCCUGGUAGUCUACGCCGUAAACGAUGGUUACUAGCUGUUUGGUCGAUUGAGACUGAGUGGCUAAGCGAAAGUGAUAAGUAACCCACCUGGGGAGUACGUUCGCAAGAAUGAAACUCAAAGGAAUUGACGGGGGCCCGCACAAGCGGUGGAGCAUGUGGUUUAAUUCGAUGAUACGCGAGGAACCUUACCAGGGCUUAAAUGUAGUCUGACAGAUUUGGAAACAGAUUUUUCUUCGGACAGAUUACAAGGUGCUGCAUGGUUGUCGUCAGCUCGUGCCGUGAGGUGUCAGGUUAAGUCCUAUAACGAGCGCAACCCCUGUGGUUAGUUGCCAGCGAGUCAAGUCGGGAACUCUAGCCAGACUGCCGGUGCAAACCGUGAGGAAGGUGGGGAUGACGUCAAAUCAUCACGGCCCUUACGUCCUGGGCCACACACGUGCUACAAUGGUAGGGACAGAGAGCAGCCACUUCGCGAGAAGGAGCGAAUCUUCAAACCCUAUCACAGUUCGGAUCGCAGUCUGCAACUCGACUGCGUGAAGCUGGAAUCGCUAGUAAUCGGAUAUCAGCCAUGAUCCGGUGAAUACGUUCCC